GACGAACGCUGGCGGCGUGCCUAAUACAUGCAAGUCGAGCGAAGAGCCGGGUGGGUGAGUAACGCGUGGGUAACCUGCACUUAAGUCUGGGAUACCAUUUGGAUACAGAUGCUAAUAACGGAUAGUAAAGGAUGGACAAGCGAUGCAUUAGCUAGCUGGUAAGGUAACGGCUUAGCAAGGCGAUGAUGCAGAGCCGAGUUGAGAGACUGAUCAGCCACAUUGGGACUGAGACACGGCCCACACUCCUACGGGAGGCAGCAGUAGGGAAUCUUCCACAAUGGACGAAAGUCUGAUGGAGCAACGCCGCGUGAGUGAAGAAGGUUUUCGGAUCGUAAAGCUCUGUUGUUGGGGAAGCGGUAAUCAACCAGAAAGUCACGGCUAACUACGUGCCAGCAGCCGCGGUAAUUC
Molecule: ribosomal RNA, 408 nt
Filed under: uncultured bacterium
Lineage: Bacteria
Description: partial 16S ribosomal RNA
Rfam family: Bacterial small subunit ribosomal RNA
Source: RNAcentral